GCAUGGAGUGUGUUUCUAUUUGAGUUUCUUGCUGCGUCAGAUUGUUUUAGCUGCUGGAUGACUUUGGACUUUGGAGUUUAGAACAGAAACAAUGAAAAAAAUAAAAUAUGCUCAUGCAAGAUAAUUCUCUUACAGAAACGUUACCCAAAAUUCUCAUAGUUCUGAAGACACACACACACACAAACACACAUAAUUCCUUGUUUGAUAAGGACUGCAAUUUUACCUGGGAAAAUUUUUAAUAAAUACUAAAUAGGAAGCAAACAAAAUGUAAAUGCCUGAUUAAAAAAUACUUUCCUUAUAAAUAUUGAAAAUUCCCAAAUCAGAAAUUUUUAGUGAAUAUGUAAAAUUCCUCAUACUUGAUGUAUGAACCAAGAUUUGAGGAACUUUGUGUGUAAAUGUCUCAGUUUGAAGAUGGCUAGUACAUUCUUCAGUUAACAUGGAUAGAUAGUUGUGAUAACUAGUCCUAUUAACUGUAACUGACAUAUCCUUUGCCCUUAUUCUGGUUAUGAUUGAAAGAAUUUGUUCUGCUCACCUCUGUUUUCAUAACCACCUUCGUGAAUAUGAUUAGCAAUUUAGCAACAUUAUCUUCAUGCAUAAAUGCAUAAGAUUUUCAUCUUCUGUAGUAAUUCCAGCAUUCUAUUGACAACAAUAUAAUGCACACCAUAUUAUUCCAGCUUGUAAGUUAAGGAUAUUAGUUAUUUUAGGUGUUCCACUGGCUCAGCAACAUCUUCUAUAAGGGAAAUGAAAGAAGAUCUUGCAAAUUGCAUUUUCCCCACUGAAGGGUGCUGUAUCCUAAGUGCCUAACUUUGCUCCUUUAUAUCUUUUUGAAAAUUUGAAUUGUUUGUUGAUAAGAGUAAGCAUCAUUUUGUUGUUGAAAUACUGUUAUUGCCAUUUGCUUUAAUGGAGAAUGGGUAUACUAUUUUUGCUCAAACUUCAUUGUCAAUGUGGAGAAUCAAGUAUUCUCAGUCCCCAGCAAAUGCAACCAACUUUCUGGGAUUCUAGAAUCAAUAUAAUUAUGGCUUAUAUUUCAAUUUUCUUGUUUCCCCAUUUUUUAUAACAUAAUUGUUUCUGAAAAAUAUAUAUGUUAAUUUGUAGGAUGACCAGGAUAAGAAAAUUCA
RNAcentral lists this unclassified non-coding RNA (1118 nucleotides) under Hevea brasiliensis (rubber tree). Lineage: Eukaryota; Viridiplantae; Streptophyta; Magnoliopsida; Malpighiales; Euphorbiaceae. The record is from RNAcentral.